AGCGGAAAAAUGGCCAAAAAACGGGUGGGCUAUAGCCUUGGUGGGGGGCGCGGGCGAAGUUCGUCCGCUGGACUCGGAAUGGGGCGAGACUUUGCGAGGGGCCUAGGGGUGCCAGAAAUAAUCCGCGGGCAAAGCCGCGCCCAAAAAUAAGCGCCCGAAGGUCGUGGUGCCAAAACCCCCCAGCGGAAAAAUGGCCAAAAAACGGGUGGGCUAUAGCCUUGGUGGGGGGCGUGGGCGAAGUUCGUCCGCCGGACUCGGAAUGGGGCGAGACUUUGCGAGGGGCGUCGGGGUGCCCCCAGGAAGUCGCGGGCACAGCCGCGUCCAAAAAUAAGCGCCCGAAGGUCGUGGUGCCAAAACCCCCCAGCGGAAAAAUGGCCAAAAAACGGGUGGGCUAUAGCCUUGGUGGGGGGCGCGGGCGAAGUUCGUCCGCCGGACUCGGAAUGGGGCGAGACUUUGCGAGGGGCCUCGGGGUGCCAAAAAUAAGCCGCGGGCAAAGCCGCGCCCAAAAAUAAGCGCCCGAAGGUCGUGGUGCGAAAACCCCCCAGCGGAAAAAUGGCCAAAAAACGGGUGGGCUAUAGCCUUGGUGGGGGGCGCGGGCGAAGUUCGUCCGCCGGACUCGGAAUGGGGCGAGACUUUGCGAGGGGCCUCGGGGCGCCAAAAAUAAGCCGCGGGCAAAGCCGCGCCCAAAAAUAAGCGCCCGAAGGUCGUGGUGCCAAAACCCCCCAGCGGAAAAAUGGCCAAAAAACGGGUGGGCUAUAGCCUUGGUGGGGGGCGUGGGCGAAGUUCGUCCGCCGGACUCGGAAUGGGGCGAGACUUUGCGAGGGGCGUCGGGGUGCCCCCAGGAAGUCGCGGGCACAGCCGCGUCCAAAAAUAAGCGCCCGAAGGUCGUGGUGCCAAAACCCCCCAGCGGAAAAAUGGCCAAAAAACGGGUGGGCUAUAGCCUUGGUGGGGGGCGCGGGCGAAGUUCGUCCGCCGGACUCGGAAUGGGGCGAGACUUUGCGAGGGGACUCGGGGUGCACGCGGGAAGUUGCGGGCACAGCCGCGUCCAAAAAUAAGCGCCCGAAGGUCGUGGUGCCAAAACCCCCCAGCGGAAAAAUGGCCAAAAAACGGGUGGGCUAUAGCCUUGGUGGGGGGCGCGGGCGAAGUUCGUCCGCCGGACUCGGAAUGGGGCGAGACUUUGCGAGGGGCCUCGGGGUGCCAAAAAUAAGCCGCGGGCAAAGCCGCGCCCAAAAAUAAGCGCCCGAAGGUCGUGGUGCGAAAACCCCCCAGCGGAAAAAUGGCCAAAAAACGGGUGGGCUAUAGCCUUGGUGGGGGGCGCGGGCGAAGUUCGUCCGCCGGACUCGGAAUGGGGCGAGACUUUGCGAGGGGCCUCGGGGUGCCCGCGGGAAGUCGCGGGCACAGCCGCGUCCAAAAAUAAGCGCCCGAAGGUCGUGGUGCCAAAACCCCCAGCGGAAAAAUGGCCAAAAAACGGUUGGCUAUAGCCUUGGUGGGGGGCGCGGGCGAAGUUCGUCCGCCAGACUCGGAAUGGGGCGAGACUUUGCGAGGGGCCUCGGGGUGCCAAAAAUAAGGCGCGGGCAAAGCCGCGCCCAAAAAUAAGCGCCCAAAGGUCGUGUUGCCAAAACCCCCCAGCGGAAAAAUGGCCAAAAAACGGGUGGGCUAUAGCCUUGGUGGUGGGCGCGGGCGAAGUUCGUCCGCCGGACUCGGAAUGGGGCGAGACUUUGCGAGGGGCCUCGGGGUGCCCGCGGG
Molecule: long non-coding RNA, 1746 nt
Filed under: Citrus x clementina
Lineage: Eukaryota; Viridiplantae; Streptophyta; Magnoliopsida; Sapindales; Rutaceae
Description: Citrus clementina (C. clementina) long non-coding RNA (CCLE_LNC005920)
Source: RNAcentral